Molecule: ribosomal RNA, 758 nt
Filed under: uncultured fungus
Lineage: Eukaryota; Fungi
Description: SSU rRNA
Rfam family: Eukaryotic small subunit ribosomal RNA
Source: RNAcentral
UUAGCAUGGAAUAAUAGAAUAGGACGUAUGGUUCUAUUUUGUUGGUUUCUAGGACCAUCGUAAUGAUUAAUAGGGACGGUCGGGGGCAUCAGUAUUCAGUUGUCAGAGGUGAAAUUCUUGGAUUAACUGAAGACUAACUACUGCGAAAGCAUUUGCCAAGGACGUUUUCAUUAAUCAAGAACGAAAGUUAGGGGAUCGAAGAUGAUCAGAUACCGUCGUAGUCUUAACCAUAAACUAUGCCGACUAGGGAUCGGGUGGCGCUAUUUUGCCCACUCGGCACCUUACGAGAAAUCAAAGUUUUUGGGUUCUGGGGGGAGUAUGGUCGCAAGGCUGAAACUUAAAGGAAUUGACGGAAGGGCACCACCAGGAGUGGAGCCUGCGGCUUAAUUUGACUCAACACGGGGAAACUCACCAGGUCCAGACGUAAUAAGGAUUGACAAGUUAGAGACUUCUCUUGAUCUUACGGGUGGUGGUGCAUGGCCGUUUUUAGUCCUUGGAGUGAUUUGUCUGCUUAAUUGCGAUAACGGACGAGACCUUAACCUGCUAAAUAGGGCUGCGAGCAUCUGCUCGUGGGCUCUUCUUAGAGGGACUAUGGGUAUCAAACCCAUGGAAGUUUGAGGCAACAACAGGUCUGUGAUGCCCUUAGACGUUCUGGGCCGCACGCGCGCUACACUGACGGAGCCAGCAAGUAUAUCCUUGGUCGAGAGGCCCGGGUAAUCUCGUGAAACUCCGUCGUGCUGGGGAUAGAGCAUUGCAAU